UUAUAUAAACUGAAUUGAGGGGCUUGGAAUCCUGGCAACCUUGUCGAUAGCCACCACAAGUCAUUCGGUUCGAAAGCCACGAUCCAAUCCAAUCCAAUCGGAACUUUUCCCUCUUUUUUUUUUUAUAGCUGUUUCGCGGAGUUUUUUUUAGGGAGGCCUUGUAGGUACUACAACGGGUUUGCUAUCAAGAGGAGCAGCGACAUGGAAAUGGAAGAUGGCAAAAAGUUUGGGGUGUUCCAUUUUCUUAAGGAUGACUCUGUCGCUGUUGUCCAUGCAAACUGGGUGAAAGGCUCCGUUUGUUUUUGGCCCAAUAAGACAACAAGCAAGAAACUUAAAGCAUUGACCAUAGAAGGCAAGCUACCAGAGCUAGGCUGGACGGAGUUACCGUUCACUUCUCUUGGAUGGUAUGACAGUUACGAGAAGGCAAGACUGAAACUUCCCAUUGCUGAAGAGGCGUCCGACCUACGUAGUGACGUAGAAUUAGGGCGUGGAAAAAGAAAAAAGACUAGGAAGCUAGUGUCUAGCGAUUCUGAAGUUGAAAUCCAAGAAGGCUACAUUCCUCCUAAACCACCCACACCACCCUGCCUUGGAGAAAGAUCUGACCAAGCAAAGAAAAGCAGCCGUCUAAUCUUUUCUGGACAUGAAGCUGUGGUGCAUUCGAGGUCACACGGGGCAGGUCGUCAGAAGGCGAAAGAGAGCCGUCCCAUCUCUAACAAAGGUCAGGCACUUCGGAGGAUUUCGAGAUCAUGCGAGCAGUCUAGCCAGGGUGUGCACGGCAGCCGUCCUGUCUCACGGGAGCGCGAGUCCUCGCAUGGAAGGCAGCUCAAAUCCCCGGAGUGGUCCAGCCGAUGGGCCCAUGGCAGCCGUUCAGUUUCUCGUGAGUUUGAGGAACUUCCGUGGAGGCGUUCACUCUCCCCUAGGCACUCUACCCAGCAGGCACAUGGGAGCUGCCCUUCCCAUCACGAGGUAGAAUCCUCACUCGGGAGGUGCUCAGCAAUGUCUCCUGAGGCUCUCAGUCAGCAUGUGCAUGGCAGCCCUCCUGUCUCACGGGAGCGCAAGUCCUCGUAUGGAAGGCAGUCCAAAUCACCGGAGCGGUCCAGGAGUGGGGUCCAUGGCAGCCGUUCAGUUUCUCGUGAGUUUGAGGAACUUCCGUGGAGGCGUUCACUCUCCCCUAGGCACUCUACCCAGCAGGCACAUGGGAGCCGCCCUUCCCAUCACGAGGUAGAAUCCUCACUCGGGAGGUGCUCAGCAAUGUCUCCCGAGGCCCUCAAUCAGCAUGUGCAUGGCCCUGUUCCCAGCGCAGGGCGGCCGCGUGAUAUUACUGCUCAUAUGCCACCAGGGGCAAUUUCGGGCCCACAAUGGACAGAUUUCAUGACGCAGGUGCUGAGGAUGUUGCAUACACUCAAGCAGAGACAACAACAGCAAUCAGAACAACUGGCACUCCUUGCCAACAUGCUCGACAGUGUGCUGCCUGCACCGACCGAACCUCUUGUUGUUGCUCCUUUGAAGGAUUUGGAGGAAUUCUUGGCUUACGAAAAAGUCCUGGCUGCAAGUGAUGAAAAGAAGCUGCAACUGAAAAGGUACAUCAAAAUAAUUGGCGGGGACGAUGCAAAGGAAAAAACUUCCCGAAUACAUAAGAAGCUUCUGACUUACGACAUAGGAGUGGCCUUCACUUGGUAUGGUACAAAAGACAAGAGGAGAUUCUGUGACCUGCAGUUCUGUCAGCUGAUGUGUGGUGGCUUAACAGAACAACAAAACAAGAAAGAAGCAGAAGUCACUCUUAAAGAUAUUGAGAAAACAACAAUGACAUGGCUGCGCCAUGCCAAAGAGCGCCUGGACAACUGCCAGAAAAGGGGGGCUGCACAGAUGGCACACCCAGAGGAAGAUGAGGAUGACUGAAAUCUGGAAUUGUUUUCUUUCCAAGUGAAGAUGUGCUGUUAUUUUAAUGAACAGUUCCUUAAGCCUCGUUCAGGUUCCAACUAGUCAAUAAUUUAUUUGUUUUGUAAAACAGACUACUUUAUUUUUAUGAACAGUUGCAGUCUGGAAUUUUUUUUUAGUUCUCUAAAGAGGUGGUUUUAUUUUUAUGAACAGUUGCUUCAACCUUUUUCUAUAAGCUUUGUUAAGUCACUAACGAGUCAUUUAUAUCUUUGUUAUCAGACUAUUUUAUUUUUAUCAACAGUUGCUUAAGGCUUCUUGGAUAAACCAUCAUGAAACCACUUACAACUAGUCUCUUUUUCUUGUGAAAGCAGACUAUUUUCUUGUAAAAGCAAAAGUAUGUUUGUAACACGAUUUUAUGAUCCAGUGUUAGUGUUCUUACAAUAAAAUUUAAAAGCUGCCUUA
This 2340-nucleotide small RNA is filed under the name Ixodes scapularis (black-legged tick). Its description in RNAcentral is "uncharacterized LOC115332508, transcript variant X2". The record is from RNAcentral. Lineage: Eukaryota; Metazoa; Arthropoda; Arachnida; Ixodida; Ixodidae.